This 456-nucleotide ribosomal RNA is filed under the name uncultured bacterium. Its description in RNAcentral is "bacterial SSU rRNA". It matches the Rfam family "Bacterial small subunit ribosomal RNA", at positions 343 to 796 of the family's 1533-position model. The record is from RNAcentral.
UGGAGGCAGCAGUGGGGAAUAUUGGGCAAUGGACGCAAGUCUGACCCAGCCAUGCCGCGUGCAGGACGAAGGCCCUAUGGGUUGUAAACUGCUUUUUUACGGGAAGAAACCCCUUUACGUGUAGAGGGCUGACGGUACCGUAUGAAUAAGGAUCGGCUAACUCCGUGCCAGCAGCCGCGGUAAUACGGAGGAUCCAAGCGUUAUCCGGAUUUAUUGGGUUUAAAGGGUGCGCAGGCGGGCAUAUAAGUCAGUGGUGAAAUCUCUCGGCUCAACUGAGAAACUGCCAUUGAUACUGUAUGUCUAGAGUACAGAUGAGGUAGGCGGAAUGUGUCAUGUAGCGGUGAAAUGCUUAGAUAUGACACAGAACACCGAUUGCGAAGGCAGCUUACCAAACUGUUACUGACGCUCAUGCACGAAAGCGUGGGGAGCGAACAGGAUUAGAUACCCGAGUAGUCC